CCAGGACCUGCAAGCAGUAAAUGCGGCGGUCCAACCACGCGCGCCUACGGCACCGCCCUGCUGCAGUACGUUGACGACUUGAUGAUCUGCAGUGAGGAUCAGGAAACUUGCGCAGCAGAUACGAUCAAGCUGCUGAAACACCUGCAUGCUGCAGGCCACAAAGCAAGUCUGUCUAAAUUACAGUUCAUUCAGACUGAAGUUACCUUCCUAGGUCACAUCAUCACCGCUGAAGGGAAAUCCAUUUCACCUAAAAGAGCUGAAGCUAUUCAGAACCUGCCUAAACCGUGCACAUACAAACAGCUUAUGUCCUUUUUAGGCAUGUGCUCUUAUUGCAGGAAUUUCAUUCCUAACUGCGUCGUCUUGGAGGCUCCGCUUAGAGCUCUGAUGCAGACGUCUUCUGCAUUCACCACCCGCCUCACGUGGACUUCUAAGGCUGAACAGGCGUUCACCGACCUCAAACUAGCUCUUCAGUCGGCUCCUACUUUGGGUCUGCCUGACCCUACGUGACCUUUCACCCAAACAGUGGAUGAGAAAUCAGGUUGUAUGAUCUCUGUCCUUCUACAGGAUCACGGAGGGCGUCCACGCCCUGUAGCCUAUUUCUCUGCUAAGCUUGACCCAGUCACUGCGGGGCUCCCACGAUGCCUCCGAGCAGUGGCUGCGGCAGAGAAAGCCGUGCUGGCAUCACGUGACAUUGUUGGCUAUUCUGAUGUCACCCUGCUGGUUCCUCAUGCCGUGUCUUUGAUCCUUUUGGAACAAAAAACAUCACAUCUUUCUACAGCCUGAUGGCCUAGAUACAACACCAUCUUACUGGAAAUGCCAAACAUUAGUGUCAAAAGGUGCAAUGUGCUUAACCCAGCCACUUUGUUUCCAGGCCCUGACGAUGGCGAGCCUCACAACUGUGUUUCGGUCUUGAACCAGGUCUGCACUCCGCGCCCAGAUCUGUCGGAGGUGCCAAUUCCUAACUGUGGCCUCGUUCUCUUUGUUGAUGGCUCCGCCUCUAGAGACCCAGCUUCGGGCCGCUGUCAGGUUGGAUAUGCAGUCUGCACCUCUCAUACUGUUUUACAUUCUGGCGCUUUGCCAGGACAUUACUCUGCUCAGGCUGCGGAGUUGAUCGCACUGACCGAAGCCUGUAAAUUGGCUGAAGGGAAGUCUGUUACUAUCUACACAGACUCCAGAUACGCUUUUGGCGUCACACACGACUUUGGUGCUCUGUGGAAACACAGAAAGUUUUUGAAAUCUGAUGGCAAACCUAUCUUGCAUCAUGAUAAGGUUGCUGAUCUGCUUGAUGCAAUUCUGUUACCAGCUGCAAUUGCUGUAUGUAAGUGCCCCGCACACACUGGGGGCACUGAUCCCAUCUCUGCUGGAAACGCACGCGUUGAUGCUGCUGCGAAGGCAGCUGCUCGACAUCCCCUUCCCUUUGUUCCCUGACUCUUAUCCUCCACCUCCACCCAACCUCCCUCUCCUCCCUUUGCUCUCCCUGAUCUUCAGACAUUCUCUACCCCACAGGAACGCAAGCUCUGGCUGACGAAUGGCGCCACCAGUAGCCAUGGCGUUUGGUAUGGCCCGACGGCAAACCUUGCCUACCUAAACACUUUUUCCCUCAUUUCGCGAAGUUGACACAUGGAUUAGACCAUGUAUCAAAGGGGGGAAUGUUAGAUGCUCUUACAAAACAUUGGUACACUAUGCGCAAAAAUACUGUGAAGCAUAUACUGUAUGACAUGCGCCCAACACAACCCAGGUAAGACGACUGCCAAACCACUGGCAGCUCACCCACCACCGGAACAGGCGUUUGACCAUUUAAUGCUGGACUUCAUCGAACUAACGCCGGCAGAAGGUAAAAAGUAUUGUUUAGUGAUUGUUGAUAUGUGGUCAAAAUGGGUGGAGGCCUUCCCAGCUAAAUAUGCUAACAGCCAUGCAGUUACCUCUUCCCAUUGUGCUCUCAUACAUGAGAAUGAGGAGAAGGAUGAGAACAAACCUCAGCCCGUAUGAGAUUCUAUUUGGUAGACCUCCUAUGAUGGGACUCCACCCUGAGACCGAGACUAGGAUUUUACCACCUACUGAAAUGUGCGAAGACGCAAUGCUACAGUACUGUAAGAACUUAUCCUCUGUUCUGUCCCAAAUCUCCAAACAGGUGAAAGCGGCUCUGCCCAAACAGGCGACAGAACCACUGCACAUCAUUCAACCAGGAGACUGGCUGAUCAUUAAGGAGCUUCGCAGGAAGCACUGGAACUCAACGCGGUGGCAAGGUCCCUUCCAAGUCCUUCUGACGACCAACACGGCUGUGAAGAUUGCAGAAAGAGCGACUUGGAUCCACUCCAGCCACUGCAGGAAGGUCCCGGAUCCGACAGACGACCCUCCAUCUACAUCUACACCACACGAGAAAACCACCACUGACGAAAAGAAUUGAGAAGGACGACCCUCGCUGUGCUCACACACGCACUGAGGCGAGGCUGCGUUGACCGUUCAGCUAAAGGUGCGAGCCAAGCGCCGCCUGAAGCUGCGCCGGUGAAUCACACUAUCAGACCAUACAUCUACACACACACUCCUGAGAAAACACACACACGAGCAGCCUUGAGUUGCCGACGCUGGACGACGUGUAGACUCUUCACAUCACGGGGAGUGACAGUGACUCAGACGACAUUGGGAGGAAACCUGGCGGUGAUAACGAACCCCAAGUGUCUCUGUGAUCAGCUGAUCACAACCUGAAGAACCCCAAUGAACUGUCAAGGUGUCAACAAACAGGUUGGAAACAAUCUAACGCUACUGUUCAACAGGAAGAAGAAUACAUUGAUUGUGACCCUGUUGUUUUUGAUAUGUUACUUUAAUAUUUGCUCUAAAUUGUGUGGUUGAUUACAUGUAUGCCUCUCUGUGAUUUUAUCCACUAUUUUUGAACGAAAACAUUUUACGAUAAGCAUAUCUAGAGUUGUUUUCUACUUGAUUCACACUUUCACACAAAUUUUUAUCUUCCACUGACGCAAAAUGACAUCCACCAGACGAAACAAGAUAAAAAUGAUUGUCAUAUCGACGAUGACAGCAAUAUGCGUGGUCACUCUGACAUUCGCAUCAACCGAAGACACUCCACCGCACACCGGAGUCACCCACAAAUCGAUCAUGCUUAGUUUGUGCCAUUAGAGACCUGAUGACCACGACGGAACAAUUGCCCCACAUAGCGAAGACAACAUGGCAGAAUAGAAUGGCCUUAGAGAUGUUAUUAACAAAGAUGGGAAGUGUUUGUGUCAGGUUUGGUAAAACAUGCUGUACCUUUACUCAGGAUGAUUGAACAUGAACUGAUUGGAAUCAAUUAUAGGCUUAUGUCCCUGUCUUUCCAAAGCUCAUACACAAGGGUUAUUCUAGUAUAACUACCCACAAAAACAGCUCACAAUCUUUUAUCCCUACGCCAUUUACAUCUUUAUAAGCAAUACAUUUAACGAAUCAUGUUUAAGGAAUGCUUUAUUACUACAGAAUGAAUACCACGAUUGACAAUUUUUAUUCUUUCAAUGUUUGAUUAAUGUGUAAUCAAAAGGGGGGAAUUGUAAUGGAAAAAUUGUACUUUAAUGCUCUUGUGUUCAUUUCUGACUAAGUAUAAUAACCAUGCAUUCUGUACUUGUUGGUUAGACCCAGAACUGAACAUUAUUAGACAAACAAUCUAUCUUCCUCUCAAGGUUCUGUCGCACAUUAAGUGCUGACAUCUAAUGUUGUGUUUGACUGACCGAUUGUUUAUGGCUUGUGUCUGCCUUUUACCCCUGGUCUCUGGCUCCUUUCUAUCUGAUGCCCCACCAGACCCAAGGCUGUAGACCUUGUGUAUUCCCUGUGUAAUGUAAACAUCUUCACCCACAGUGUGAUAGGAAAAUUCCACCAGGUCUCGGGAGAGGGGUUAAAAGGCAGAGACAACCUCAGAACGGGGUGAUCUUUGCAUUAUACCUCCAUGGUGUAUGUUCAGAUCUCCCCAGCUGGCUUUUUAUUUGCUUUCCUCAUUACUUGUUAUUUUCUUUAUUAUUUCAAUAAAUCGCACAAAAGGACAACUCUCUCUCAUCUGCCUUUAUUGCAAAAUUUCCACCACAACUUGGUAAAGGAUUUCAACAAACGUGCAGUCUGUCUUGAGUGAUUUUAAAUUCAAGUAGUUUAACUCCUCUUGCAAUAAAUCUACAAUUAUUACUUGGGCAAUCAAGAUUAUUGUAUUUCUGGCACAAUUGAGAUAAAAUGUGCUAGAAAAAUUAGUAAAACUCCUAAUACUCAUCAUUGUCAUGAUACCAUCUAGUGUAAGUUUUGGAUGAUUUAAUGUAUAAUCUUUUUUCCCAAAUAAAGUAAUUAGUCCAUUAUCCA
Betta splendens (Siamese fighting fish) is the source of this 4323-nucleotide long non-coding RNA. RefSeq lists it as uncharacterized. The record is from RefSeq and is a predicted model, not a curated record. The transcript is spliced from 2 exons. NCBI's taxonomy places the organism in Eukaryota, Metazoa, Chordata, Actinopteri, Anabantiformes, Osphronemidae.